Molecule: unclassified non-coding RNA, 1851 nt
Filed under: Hevea brasiliensis (rubber tree)
Lineage: Eukaryota; Viridiplantae; Streptophyta; Magnoliopsida; Malpighiales; Euphorbiaceae
Source: RNAcentral
AAAAAAAAAAAAAAAAAACUUUGUUGCUGGGAGUAACAGUAGUGUUUAUGUUUCAUUUUCAUGGUUUUCCACAUAAAAUUCACCAAAAAAAAAGGCAUUUAUGUUCCUCAAAGGCAUGCAUGAGACUGUUUUAUUGUGCUUCUUAUAUUAUUUGAAAUUUUCUUGCAGCCUAAUGCUGAAACCGAAGAUAAUAUAACUCCAUUAUUGUCAGCUGUUGCUGCUGAUUCAUUAGCUUGCUUAGAAUCAUUAGUUCAGCUUGUUGAUCUUGCAAAUUGUGAAGUGAAAAUUCUGAUACUUUUUUGGAGAUUAGAGCUUUAGGAUGAUGUCAAAGGCAGGUGCUGAUGUGAAUGUUAUUGCUGGUGGAGCUACCCCAUUGCAUAUUGCUGCUGAUAAUGGGAGCUCAGAAAUCUUGAACUGUUACUAAAAGCUGGGGCUGAUCCUAAUGUUGUUGAUGAGGAUGGCCAGAAACCAAUACAGGUUGCUGCAACAAGAGGCAAUCGUGCAGCUGUUGAGAUCCUUUUUCCCUUGACGGCAAAAGUUCACACUAUCCCAGAGUGGACUGUUGAUGGAAUUCUUGGAUACAUGCAGUCUGAAACUAACAAACAACUGGAAGAAAUGAGGAAUCUGAGGGAAGUAAUUGCUGCAGAGGGCUCUGCUGUACCAACAAAUGCUCUCCCUGAGGCAAUUGAUCUAGACCCUACUGGUGCCAUUUUGCUUCAAAUAGAAGCCUUUGUUGGAUGCGCUUGGGACAACCAGAGCAAGCAUUAACUGAUGCAAAGGCUUGCAGAGCAUUAAGACCAGAUUGGUCAAAAGCUUGCUAUCGGGAAGGCGAAGCUUUGCGUGUAUUGCAGAGGUUCAGUGAAGCAGCAAAUUCAUUUUAUCAGGGUGUGAAGCUUGAUCAUGACAAUAAGGAACUCGUUUCAGCAUUUAGGUUUGCGAUUAGAUGCUCCUCAUUUUUUUUUUCCCUAUUUUGUUUUCUCUUCCUCCUUUCUUCGCCUUCAUUAAUUGUCAUCACGACAUGGCUACACCAUCAAUAAUUGCUUUUAAUAUCCUCUUCUCAUCCUAAGCAAGUCAGGAUGCACUAUAUUAUCUGUUUGCAAGUUAAUCAGAAAAAAACUUUCACUAGCGAUAUUAAAAGGCUGGAAAGCCAAUUGAAAAUGAUUGGUGAGGACGGAAGGAAGAAAUAAGAUUAUUGAGGAACUCAAAAUUAUAGCCACAGUUCCGUGGUUGUUCCACAAUAAUAUUAAAGUUGUGUUUGCUUGAGUUGCAUUACAUUUUUGUACUCGGGAGAAUUUUGGGCACUAUAAAAGAACAAUGAAUGAAUUUCUUACUGCUACAUGGGCACAUCAGAUUUUCUCGUCUGGAUACCUUGUAAAGCCCUAGGUCUUUUGAAACACUGCUUAAUUGGUGACUUCCAUGCAUUGGGGCUAGCUAGUGUCCUUUCUGCAUCAAUGUUAUGUAGUUUUAAUUUUUCAACUUUGGCGACCUUUAUAGGGAAGCUGUUGAAGAUGGGAGAAGGUUUUAUGGUACAGAUCAAGAAAGAUCAUAACAUCUUCAUUGGCAAAUGAACACCAAAAACAUAGACAAAAAGUUGUGAACGACUGCUAUGCAUUAUCCCCUUUUUCCCCAUCCCCCUUUACCCUUCUUUAUACUUAGUGAGCAACUGUAAGUAUAUCUUUGUUUUGUGAGAAAGCUCCAUGGAAAAGAGAAAAAGAGAGAUUGUGUACAAAUGAGCUAACAAUAUUUAACAGAUAAUUAACAUGUUGGCUGUGUUCUCUCAAUUUUUGUAAUAAAUCGAUGCAUUUUUGUUGUGGGUUUUCUUUGAUUUGAAUAAAUUUGUGGAUUCUCUUA